UUUAGUUUUUAUUUUAUAGAAAAAAAAUAUUAAUUUUUAACAGCUCCUACCACAGUCAUCACCCGCCAGAAAUUGGACUUUUAACUUUAGUGGAAGUCAACAAGGAACAUCAGAUACACCAAACAACAGGAACACGAUGAAAAUAGAAAUGGUGGUCUAUGAUGCUAGAUGUACAGAUGCUGGCUUGUAUUUCUGUAAUGCUACCUACAUUAGCUCAGCGAGGAAUUAUUACCAACAGUUCACUAUCAAAAUGUCUCCAGCAUAAGGUCCGAAACAACUAACCUUCACCUAGAAGUACGGCCCUUCUAGCUCUGACGUCAACAGUUUCACAUCAUAUCCUGUACAAAACGCUAUAUCAGUUGAUGAACCUGUGCUGGUCAGUUCUUGGAAAACAUGUGUCCAGUACCGUCAUACGUCAACACUGAAGUUUCAAGACAAGUAAGAUGGCUACAUGUAGGUAUGUGUGGCUACAGAAAACAACAGAGACACAACUGUUAGGAAUAUGACGAUGUAGACUAAACAGGCACAAACAGCAGCCAGUGUUACGAUGAAACCGGUGAGAGGUCACAAUUUAGGUGGGAAACCUAUGAGAGGUCAAGUGUGGUGGAAAACCUGUGAGACUUUAUACAUUUGGUGGGAAACCUGUGAGAUUUUACACAAUUAGGACACGAUGUAACAAGAGGGACAAGCGUCCGUCAAAUAGGAGCCAUUAAAACUGACUACAUCUCAUUGUAUUGAAACAACAUCAGAUUUUUAUAGAAGGGGACACAACUUAUAUCCUUAUGUUGAUCAAGCAACUAUGAAUACAACUGUUUCAUGAACCGCUAUUUUUUCAAUUUUUUUUUAGAUUUACACGCUCAUUUAUCUUUGUUUUUUAAGGUUAGCACAUUUUUUGGUUAUAUUUGUAAUUAUGACUUGCCUACAUUUUAUAUCUGUUACUCUGUAGGCCAAUUAAAUUUCGAUUAUCCCGAAUAGCGGGAUAGUCGCUUGCCCCAAAUAUAUUUCCCUGAACGCUACACUUUUAUAAGAAAUCCAAAUAUAAUUUCAUUUACAUAUCCUUGUUGUUUAAAUUUAUUGUUAAAGAUAGUUCCGGGAACUCCUAUACUAUGGGAUUGAAAUCUUUGCUUUGGGGCAUAUUUCAGACGGUGUAAAUAGUCCUGGCCACAUCUGAAAUAUUUUUAAUUCAACGAAUAAAUAUAAAAAGUUUUUAUUUCUUUUCUGACGUAUUUGUUGAUUAACGAGUUGUAUAUUGAACUAGCCCUGAGUACCUGUUUCCCGUGAAUUAUAGGCCUAUAUAUUUGUUACUGUUAUCCUUGUUUGGAAAAAUAAUAUAUAAGAUAGUUAAUGGUAAACACGCUAUGUGCUUUACUACACGUUGAACGAUUUUAGUGACAAAGCAAAGAAAUAAUUUAAUAUUAUUAGUCAACACAUCACUAUAUUAAAUGCCCCCACUGAUUAAGAGACUUUAAUGCUCAAUGAUAUUAUUUUAUUUUUUAAAAGUAAUUUGUGCUAUUUUUU
Molecule: long non-coding RNA, 1518 nt
Organism: Physella acuta
Lineage: Eukaryota; Metazoa; Mollusca; Gastropoda; Physidae
Source: RefSeq, a predicted model, not a curated record